AUGUAACUGUCAACCAGUCCGGCAUCGAUGCGCCUUCUACAACCACGUGACGACUGCUCGCUACGUUUUGUUAGCC
RNAcentral lists this small RNA (76 nucleotides) under Xanthomonas fragariae. Its description in RNAcentral is "sX9 sRNA". It matches the Rfam family "Xanthomonas sRNA sX9". Lineage: Bacteria; Pseudomonadati; Pseudomonadota; Gammaproteobacteria; Lysobacterales; Lysobacteraceae. The record is from RNAcentral.